This 215-nucleotide long non-coding RNA is filed under the name Homo sapiens (human). RNAcentral describes it as "LNC_000492". The record is from RNAcentral. Lineage: Eukaryota; Metazoa; Chordata; Mammalia; Primates; Hominidae.
CUCAAAAGUUACAUUCCGAAUAUAGAGAACCUCAAUCUCUUUGUCCGUGGUGUUAACACCGGCGGCCUUGAGAACCUUGAGGUAGGGCAGCCCGUCGGGCCCGUAUUUACUGCCGUUCUUUUCCACGUGCUUGAUCCACUGGAUGUGGGGCUGGGCAUCACUGUAAACCUUGCAGACAAACUCUACGUCUCCUCCGACCACUGUGGAGGCAUUUG